GAAAUCAAGUUAUCCCAAUCAACAUGAUGUUGGAGAAGUCGUGUGGUGUAGCAGCAGUUCUGGUUGUUGUCAUGGUCAUGCAGUCAGAAGCUUUACCCUGCAUGAACAGCACCGACUGCGGCGUCAACGCCAACUGCGCCAACUCUACCUGUGUGUGUGAUCCCGGGUAUCAGGGAGAUGGCGCCACCUGUACCACUAUAUGCAGCAUGCUGGACUACCUUCUCG
Molecule: long non-coding RNA, 225 nt
Organism: Haliotis rubra (blacklip abalone)
Lineage: Eukaryota; Metazoa; Mollusca; Gastropoda; Lepetellida; Haliotidae
Exons: 3
Source: RefSeq, a predicted model, not a curated record